GUGGGAUUGAGGAAAAUUGUAGAGAGAGAAAGAUAAAGGAGAUGGGGCAGAUCGUGAAGACGAAGAAGAAAGGACGUCCAUCUAAGGCAGAUCUAGCUCGCCGGAACGCUGCCGCUGAGCAGUCGGAAUCGGCGUCGGCGAAGCAGGAGAGGGAGCUUCGUCGGAGUGGACGGCGUCGGAAUGUUAGGUACGCUUUCGAUAUCGAUGAUUACCUUGACGACGAUGAGUACUUUGUCGAAGACGAUGAGGAUGAGAGAGGCAGAGAGAAGAAGCUAAAACACUUGCUUAAGCUACAGAGCGAUGAAAUCGGUGCUGAGUCAACUCCGAGUCGGACUCGACGAGUGUCAGUAGGGCCUGCCACGUCGGCUUCGUCUUCCGACGAUGGGGAUGGGAGAAAGCCCUCUAAAAAGAGAAAAAUUAACGGCGACGAUGAUAGAGAUGAAGACGAAGAAGAUAAUGACGAUGAAAUUGAAAAUGAUAAUGAUGAUGAGGCUAGAGGAAGGAAUGAAGAAGCAAAAGAUGUGGACUCUGCUCCAGGGACACCAUCUGAACCACAUUCUGGAAUGCCGUUGCCAGAUAAGAAGACGAUGGAAUUGAUUCUCGACAAGUUACAGAAGAAAGACAUCUAUGGUGUUUACGCGGAACCUGUUGAUCCUGAAGAGCUUCCUGAUUAC
Molecule: unclassified non-coding RNA, 674 nt
Filed under: Hevea brasiliensis (rubber tree)
Lineage: Eukaryota; Viridiplantae; Streptophyta; Magnoliopsida; Malpighiales; Euphorbiaceae
Source: RNAcentral